Molecule: ribosomal RNA, 496 nt
Filed under: uncultured bacterium
Lineage: Bacteria
Description: partial 16S ribosomal RNA
Rfam family: Bacterial small subunit ribosomal RNA
Source: RNAcentral
GAUGAACGCUGGCGGCGUGCCUAAUACAUGCAAGUCGAGCGAACAGACGAGGAGCUUGCUCCUUCGACGUUAGCGGCGGACGGGUGAGUAACACGUAGGUAACCUACCUAUAAGACUGGGAUAACUUCGGGAAACCGGAGCUAAUACCGGAUAAUAUUUCGAACCGCAUGGUUCGAUAGUGAAAGAUGGCUUUGCUAUCACUUAUAGAUGGACCUGCGCCGUAUUAGCUAGUUGGUAAGGUAACGGCUUACCAAGGCAACGAUACGUAGCCGACCUGAGAGGGUGAUCGGCCACACUGGAACUGAGGCACGGUCCAGACUCCUACGGGAGGCAGCAGUAGGGAAUCUUCCGCAAUGGGCGAAAGCCUGACGGAGCAACGCCGCGUGAGUGAUGAAGGUCUUCGGAUCGUAAAACUCUGUUAUUAGGGAAGAACAAACGUGUAAGUAACUGUGCACGUCUGACGGUACCUAAUCAGAAAGCUACGGCUAACUACGUG